GUUUGCAUAGCUUUGCUGCUGUUCCUCACCCUCCCAGUAACAGUGGCAACUGCUGAAAGGUCAUUUUCAAAGCUAAAAUUAAUUAAAAGUUAUUUGAGAAGCACAAUGUCUCAGCAAAGACUUUCGGGACUUGCAACGUUAAGCAUUGAAAAUGAGAGAGCUAGAAGACUGAACAUUGACAGCAUUGUUGACGACUUUGCAGACGCGAAAGCAAGGCGUCGUAAAUUUUAAUGAGAGAGUAGUUUUCCAUCAAAGAAAGUUAAAUGUUUAAGUAGUUAAGUUGAAGUUACCGUUGUUGACCCUGUUGUGAACCCUUUUUUGAAGUUUCUUUGCCGCAUUUGAGGAAAUUUGAAAAUUUGAAACCACACCAUCAAUGGCUGUUACGUGUCACCUUUUACCUGUCCUGAAUGCUGCAUUGUU
This is a long non-coding RNA of Spea bombifrons (plains spadefoot toad), 420 nucleotides long. RefSeq lists it as uncharacterized. NCBI's taxonomy places the organism in Eukaryota, Metazoa, Chordata, Amphibia, Anura, Pelobatidae. The transcript is spliced from 3 exons. The record is from RefSeq and is a predicted model, not a curated record.